Zalophus californianus (California sea lion) is the source of this 1987-nucleotide RNA transcript. It is a transcript of the gene named sphingolipid transporter 2, with no coding region annotated. The transcript has 13 exons. The record is from RefSeq and is a predicted model, not a curated record. Lineage: Eukaryota; Metazoa; Chordata; Mammalia; Carnivora; Otariidae.
CGCAGGAGCCGACGGGCCGGCCGGGAUGGUGCAGCGGCGGCUCCGCGGCGCACGCACGCCGUGAGGGGGCCCGCGCUGGGCGCCGCGCCCCCCGCGCCCCCCGCCGCCCCGGCCGGCAUGAUGUGCCUGGAAUGCGCCUCGGCGGCGGCGGGCGGCGCGGAGGAGGAGGAGGCGGACGCGGAGCGGCGGCGCCGGCGCCGGGGGGCGCAGCGAGGGGCUGGAGGUGGCGGCUGCUGCGGGGCGCGGGGAGUGGGCGCCGCUGGAGUCGCGGCCGCCGACGAUGAGGUGCAGACGCUGUCGGGCAGCGUGAGGCGGGCUCCGUCCGGCCCCCCCGGCGCCCCCGGCACCCCCAGCUGCGCAGCCGCUGCCAAGGGCCCCGGCGCUCAGCAGCCCAAACCGGCCAGCUUGGGCCGCGGACGGGGGGCAGCUGCCGCCAUCCUCAGCUUGGGCAACGUGCUCAACUACUUGGACAGGUACACCGUGGCAGGCGUCCUUCUGGACAUCCAGCAGCACUUCGGGGUCAAGGACCGAGGUGCCGGCUUGCUGCAGUCAGUGUUCAUCUGCAGCUUCAUGGUGGCCGCCCCCAUCUUCGGCUACCUGGGUGACCGCUUCAACAGGAAAGUGAUCCUCAGCUGCGGCAUCUUCUUCUGGUCUGCAGUCACCUUCUCCAGCUCCUUCAUCCCCCAGCAGCACUUCUGGCUGUUGGUCCUGUCCCGGGGCCUGGUGGGCAUCGGAGAGGCCAGCUACUCCACCAUCGCGCCCACCAUCAUAGGCGACCUCUUCACCAAGAACACGCGCACGCUCAUGCUCUCGGUCUUCUACUUCGCUAUCCCGCUGGGCAGUGGCCUGGGCUACAUCACGGGCUCCAGCGUCAAGCAGGCGGCCGGAGACUGGCACUGGGCCCUGCGGGUGUCCCCCAUCGCGGGCAUGAUCACAGGCACGCUCAUCCUCAUUCUGGUUCCUGCCACCAAGAGGGGCCACGCCGACCAGCUCGGGGGACAGCUCAAGGUGCACACGUCGUGGCUCCGCGACAUGAAGGCCCUGAUCCGCAACCGCAGCUACGUCUUCUCCUCCCUGGCCACGUCGGCCGUGUCCUUCGCCACAGGGGCCCUGGGCAUGUGGAUCCCGUUGUACUUGCACCGCGCUCAGGUUGUGCAGAAGACAGCAGAGAUGUGCAGCAACCCGCCGUGUGGGGCCAAGGACAGCCUCAUCUUCGGGGCCAUCACCUGCUUUACCGGCUUUCUGGGUGUGGCCACGGGGGCAGGAGCCACGCGCUGGUGCCGCCUACGGACCCAGCGGGCCGACCCGCUGGUGUGUGCUGUGGGCAUGCUGGGCUCUGCCAUCUUCAUCUGCCUCAUUUUCGUGGCUGCCAAGAGUAGCAUCGUGGGGGCCUAUAUCUGCAUCUUUGUUGGGGAGACACUGCUCUUUUCUAACUGGGCCAUCACCGCGGACAUCCUCAUGUACGUAGUGAUCCCCACGAGACGAGCCACGGCCGUCGCCCUGCAGAGCUUCACCUCCCACCUGCUGGGGGACGCCGGGAGCCCCUACCUCAUCGGCUUUAUCUCGGACCUGAUCCGCCAGAGCACCAAGGACUCCCCGCUUUGGGAGUUCCUGAGCCUGGGCUACGCGCUCAUGCUCUGCCCCUUCGUGGUGGUCCUGGGCGGCAUGUUCUUCCUGGCCACGGCCCUCUUCUUCCUCGGCGACCGCGCCAAGGCUGAGCAGCAGUCCCUGCCCGGCACGUCCGGCCAGCCGGCCCCCGAGAUGCGAUGUGCCAGAGCAGUGCCCGGGCCCGGCCGCCGCUGAUCCGCCACCUUGACCCCCGCCCGUCUCUCCCCCAGGGUGAACCAGCUGGUGAUGCCGCCCGCAUCCAUCAAAGUCUGAGGCCGUGUCUCUGGGACAGCGAAGAGCCCUCACUGUCACCCUACUUGGGGGGCGUGCCACGGCACCCCGGCCCUGCUGGGCCACCUCAAAGCUUUCUGUGGGACCC